AAUAAAAUGACUGAUUAAAGUGGUAGAUUGUAAGUCUAUUAAUAAAUAUUUUUUAUAUAUUUUUUUAUUU
Molecule: transfer RNA, 70 nt
Filed under: Parapsyche elsis
Lineage: Eukaryota; Metazoa; Arthropoda; Insecta; Trichoptera; Hydropsychidae
Description: tRNA-Tyr
Source: RNAcentral